RNAcentral lists this ribosomal RNA (250 nucleotides) under uncultured bacterium. Its description in RNAcentral is "partial 16S ribosomal RNA". It matches the Rfam family "Bacterial small subunit ribosomal RNA", at positions 355 to 597 of the family's 1533-position model. The record is from RNAcentral.
UGGGGAAUUUUGGACAAUGGGCGCAAGCCUGAUCCAGCCAUGCCGCGUGUCUGAAGAAGGCCUUCGGGUUGUAAAGGACUUUUGUUAGGGAGCAAGUCCUGCAGGUUAAGAGCCAGUAGGGAUGAGAGUACCUAAAGAAUAAGCACCGGCUAACUACGUGCCAGCAGCCGCGGUAAUACGUAGGGUGCAAGCGUUAAUCGGAAUUACUGGGCGUAAAGGGUGCGCAGGCGGUAUUGUAAGCCAGAUGUGA